Haliotis rubra (blacklip abalone) is the source of this 321-nucleotide long non-coding RNA. RefSeq lists it as uncharacterized. The transcript has 3 exons. The record is from RefSeq and is a predicted model, not a curated record. Lineage: Eukaryota; Metazoa; Mollusca; Gastropoda; Lepetellida; Haliotidae.
UCUGAGUGGGGGAAGCAAGAAGUGGAGGUGUCAGAUGACAGAAUAGACAGUCUGAGUGGGGGAAGCAAGAAGUGGAGGUGUGUGAUGACAGAAUAGACAGUCUGAGUGGGGGAAGCAAGAAGUGGAGGUGUGUGAUGACAGAAUAGACAGUCUGAGUGGGGGAAGCAAGAAGUGGAGGUGUGUUAUGACAGAAUAGACAGUCUGAGUGGGGGAAGCAAGAAGUGGAGGUGUGUGAUGACAGAAUAGACAGUCUGAGUGGGGGAAGCAAGAAGUGGAGGUGUGUGAUGACAGAAUAGACAGUCUGAGUGGGGGAAGCAAGAG